This 432-nucleotide ribosomal RNA is filed under the name uncultured bacterium. Its description in RNAcentral is "bacterial SSU rRNA". It matches the Rfam family "Bacterial small subunit ribosomal RNA", at positions 29 to 506 of the family's 1533-position model. The record is from RNAcentral.
AACGAACGCUGGCGGCAUGCCUAACACAUGCAAGUCGAACGAAGCCUUCGGGCUUAGUGGCGCACGGGUGCGUAACGCGUGGGAAUCUGCCCCUCGGUUCGGAAUAACAGUUAGAAAUGACUGCUAAUACCGGAUGAUGACGAAAGUCCAAAGAUUUAUCGCCGAGGGAUGAGCCCGCGUAGGAUUAGCUUGUUGGUGGGGUAAUGGCCCACCAAGGCGACGAUCCUUAGCUGGUCUGAGAGGAUGAUCAGCCACACUGGGACUGAGACACGGCCCAGACUCCUACGGGAGGCAGCAGUGGGGAAUAUUGGACAAUGGGCGAAAGCCUGAUCCAGCAAUGCCGCGUGAGUGAUGAAGGCCUUAGGGUUGUAAAGCUCUUUUACCAGGGAUGAUAAUGACAGUACCUGGAGAAUAAGCUCCGGCUAACUCCGU